Molecule: transfer RNA, 74 nt
Filed under: Apaloderma vittatum (bar-tailed trogon)
Lineage: Eukaryota; Metazoa; Chordata; Aves; Trogoniformes; Trogonidae
Rfam family: tRNA
About the family: Transfer RNA (tRNA) molecules are approximately 80 nucleotides in length. Their secondary structure includes four short double-helical elements and three loops (D, anti-codon, and T loops).
Source: Rfam by way of RNAcentral
GGACUGGAGCAUUCAGUCAGCUGAGCGUGGCGCUAACAACGCCAAGGUCACGGGUUCAAGUCCCGUUCAGUCCC